Molecule: ribosomal RNA, 862 nt
Filed under: uncultured Propionibacterium sp.
Lineage: Bacteria; Bacillati; Actinomycetota; Actinomycetes; Propionibacteriales; Propionibacteriaceae
Description: bacterial SSU rRNA
Rfam family: Bacterial small subunit ribosomal RNA
Source: RNAcentral
AUUCAGAGUUUGAUCCUGGCUCAGGACGAACGCUGGCGGCGUGCUUAACACAUGCAAGUCGAACGGAAAGGCCCUGCUUUUGUGGGGUGCUCGAGUGGCGAACGGGUGAGUAACACGUGAGUAACCUGCCCUUGACUUUGGGAUAACUUCAGGAAACUGGGGCUAAUACCGGAUAGGAGCUCCUGCUGCAUGGUGGGGGUUGGAAAGUUUCGGCGGUUGGGGAUGGACUCGCGGCUUAUCAGCUUGUUGGUGGGGUAGUGGCUUACCAAGGCUUUGACGGGUAGCCGGCCUGAGAGGGUGACCGGCCACAUUGGGACUGAGAUACGGCCCAGACUCCUACGGGAGGCAGCAGUGGGGAAUAUUGCACAAUGGGCGGAAGCCUGAUGCAGCAACGCCGCGUGCGGGAUGACGGCCUUCGGGUUGUAAACCGCUUUCGCCUGUGACGAAGCGUGAGUGACGGUAAUGGGUAAAGAAGCACCGGCUAACUACGUGCCAGCAGCCGCGGUGAUACGUAGGGUGCGAGCGUUGUCCGGAUUUAUUGGGCGUAAAGGGCUCGUAGGUGGUUGAUCGCGUCGGAAGUGUAAUCUUGGGGCUUAACCCUGAGCGUGCUUUCGAUACGGGUUGACUUGAGGAAGGUAGGGGAGAAUGGAAUUCCUGGUGGAGCGGUGGAAUGCGCAGAUAUCAGGAGGAACACCAGUGGCGAAGGCGGUUCUCUGGGCCUUUCCUGACGCUGAGGAGCGAAAGCGUGGGGAGCGAACAGGCUUAGAUACCCUGGUAGUCCACGCUGUAAACGGUGGGUACUAGGUGUGGGGUCCAUUCCACGGGUUCCGUGCCGUAGCUAACGCUUUAAGUACCCCGCCUG